Molecule: non-coding RNA, 932 nt
Organism: Macaca mulatta (Rhesus monkey)
Lineage: Eukaryota; Metazoa; Chordata; Mammalia; Primates; Cercopithecidae
Source: RefSeq, a predicted model, not a curated record
UGUAGCAUAUACAACUGAGUGUUGAAAGAAGACAAAAUCUUUUUCAUCACAAAGAAUAUGUGCUCAUUAAGAAUCAGAAUGUUCAAUUGUGUGAAGAUGGGAGAUGGGGAGAUUGGCCUUGGAUCCAGAAAUCAGUCCUCCACUACGUAAAUGGGAAUUAAAAGAUGAUCAGAAGACAGUUGGGAGCAGAGUGAGAAUAAGAAUCUUCAACUGCCGUCUCACCUUUCAGAUCAUGAAGAAGUUUUUCACAAUGAGCAGAACACUCAACCUGAAAGCAGAAUGGAUUGAGUCACUGAAGCGUGGCAGUGGAAUGGUGCUUGAUGUUGGCAAAGGAAACAUGUACUUCUAGACUUGACACUUUUCCCUUAGUUUACAGUUUCCAAAUAGAAACAUCACUUUAAAAUAACAUGAAGAAUAUACAUGGAUGUACUGAACGAAGGAUAAAGUCUGUGUUGCAGUCCUGGCCCCAUCGACUUCUACAAAUAUGGCUUUGGACAAAUCACCUAACUUUUACUUUUGCGAAUUUAAACUCAUCAUGUAUAAAAUGGCAUUGCUAAUAUGUUUGCUGCCUACCCCAUUGGGUUUUGUGAGGAAUAAAUGAUAAUGCUAAGAAAAAUGCAUUGAGAAUUAUAAAUCACUAUUCAAAUGCAAGUUAUUUAUGUGAUUAUUGUCAUUACUAUUAAUACUUUCACUCAGCUAAAACCUUAGAACCAAAAAAAUCUGAGAACUUGCUUACUAUUAAUAACUGUCUUAUUUGAUUUAGGGACUCAAGAAAGUAUCAGCUCACAUGACUGAGUCUCAUCAAUUCCAAGUUGUGCAUUGAGAAUCACAAUAAAGAUCGGGAAUAUGAGACUUUAGGCAUAAUUCUUUUUCAUCACCAUCUGGCUAUUUCUACUUCUCCAGUCCUAACUUCUAACCUGAUCUUAGUCAGC